CUACGUGCCAGCAGCCGCGGUAAUACGGAGGGUGCAAGCGUUAAUCGGAAUUACUGGGCGUAAAGCGCACGCAGGCGGUCUGUCAAGUCGGAUGUGAAAUCCCCGGGCUCAACCUGGGAACUGCAUUCGAAACUGGCAGGCUAGAGUCUUGUAGAGGGGGGUAGAAUUCCAGGUGUAGCGGUGAAAUGCGUAGAGAUCUGGAGGAAUACCGGUGGCGAAGGCGGCCCCCUGGACAAAGACUGACGCUCAGGUGCGAAAGCGUGGGGGGCAAACAGGAUUAGAUACCCUGGUAGUCCACGCCGUAAACGAUGUCGACUUGGAGGUUGUUCCCUUGAGGAGUGGCUUCCGGAGCUAACGCGUUAAGUCGACCGCCUGGGGAGUACGGCCGCAAGGUUAAAACUCAAAUGAAUUGACGGGGGCCCGCACAAGCGGUGGAGCAUGUGGUUUAAUUCGAUGCAACGCGAAGAACCUUACCUACUCUU
Molecule: ribosomal RNA, 482 nt
Filed under: uncultured bacterium
Lineage: Bacteria
Description: bacterial SSU rRNA
Rfam family: Bacterial small subunit ribosomal RNA
Source: RNAcentral